UCCCAGUCUAACGUAUGACCGGAGCAGCCAC
This 31-nucleotide non-coding RNA is filed under the name Rattus norvegicus (Norway rat). The record is from RNAcentral. Lineage: Eukaryota; Metazoa; Chordata; Mammalia; Rodentia; Muridae.